ACAGAUCGUUCAGAGUUUGAUCCUGGCUCAGAGUGAACGCUGGCGGUAGGCCUAACACAUGCAAGUCGAACGGCAGCACAGUAAGAGCUUGCUCUUAUGGGUGGCGAGUGGCGGACGGGUGAGUAACGCGUGGGAAUCUACCCUUUUCUACGGAAUAACGCAGGGAAACUUGUGCUAAUACCGUAUGUGUCCUUCGGGAGAAAGAUUUAUCGGGAAAGGAUGAGCCCGCGUUGGAUUAGCUAGUUGGUGGGGUAAAGGGCUACCAAGGCGACGAUCCAUAGCUGGUCUGAGAGGAUGAUCAGCCACAUUGGGACUGAGACACGGCCCAA
RNAcentral lists this ribosomal RNA (329 nucleotides) under uncultured bacterium. RNAcentral's name for it is "bacterial SSU rRNA". It matches the Rfam family "Bacterial small subunit ribosomal RNA", at positions 1 to 334 of the family's 1533-position model. The record is from RNAcentral.